RNAcentral lists this transfer RNA (72 nucleotides) under Bartonella sp. WD12.1. Its description in RNAcentral is "tRNA-Val". It matches the Rfam family "tRNA". From Rfam's summary of the family: Transfer RNA (tRNA) molecules are approximately 80 nucleotides in length. Their secondary structure includes four short double-helical elements and three loops (D, anti-codon, and T loops). The record is from RNAcentral. Lineage: Bacteria; Pseudomonadati; Pseudomonadota; Alphaproteobacteria; Hyphomicrobiales; Bartonellaceae.
GGGCGUGUAGCUCAGCGGGAGAGCACUACGUUGACAUCGUAGGGGUCACAGGUUCAAUCCCUGUCACGCUCA